CUCUCUCUCUCUCUCUCUCUCUCUCUCUCUCUCUCUGCGUGUGGAAUUAUAUAUAAUAAGGCCUUGUUUGGUUGAAACAGUAGCAAAAAGAAGAAGGAGAUCGAUGAUGGUGGAGUUGUUUGUGCUAGGGUGUACUGGAGUCGUUCUGUUUCUCCACGGAGCCAAUUUCUUCUUUCAUGUUCUCACUCAACAUGUUGCCAUUCGAUCACUCAGUUUCUUUGGAUCUGUUGGAUGGUAGAUCAAGACAUAAAUGCUGCAGCCAUAUGAAUUUCUUCACGCCAAGUUUUCGUGUAGUAUGGAGAAUAAAUACAAUUUCAAAGAAGGAAUGGAGUUUAUUUUGCACCUGCCGUGAAGCUUUGUAUAUAUUUAUUAUGGUCAACAUUUUGGCAAGCUUAAUUUGGUGCAUAAUGGGUGAAAUAAUGAAAUAAAUGGAAGGGUUUCGUUGAAAGUUUAAUGGAGCCAAACUAUGUCGCAAAUUAUAAUCCAAUAUUUACUUCCAAUUCUCACCAAUGAAUACUCCACUCCAUUAGUAGUAGUAGUUAACUUCUUCCUCAA
Molecule: long non-coding RNA, 555 nt
Organism: Quercus lobata
Lineage: Eukaryota; Viridiplantae; Streptophyta; Magnoliopsida; Fagales; Fagaceae
Exons: 2
Source: RefSeq, a predicted model, not a curated record